RNAcentral lists this ribosomal RNA (420 nucleotides) under uncultured bacterium. Its description in RNAcentral is "bacterial SSU rRNA". It matches the Rfam family "Bacterial small subunit ribosomal RNA", at positions 356 to 773 of the family's 1533-position model. The record is from RNAcentral.
GAGGAAUAUUGGUCAAUGGCCGAAAGGCUGAACCAGCCAUCCCGCGUGCAGGAUGACGGCCCUAUGGGUUGUAAACUGCUUUUGUACCUGAAGAAACCUGGUUACGAGUAACCAGUUGCCGGUAAGGUAUGAAUAAGCAUCGGCUAACUCCGUGCCGGCAGCCGCGGUAAUACGGAGGAUGCAAGCGUUAUCCGGAUUCAUUGGGUUUAAAGGGUGCGCAGGUGGGAAAAUAAGUCAGUGGUGAAAUACUGCCGCUUAACGGUAGAAUUGCCAUUGAUACUGUUCUUCUUGAGUAUGGUUGAGGUAGGUGGAAUGUGUUGUGUAGCGGUGAGAUGCAUAGAUAUGACACAGAACGCCGAUUGCGAAGGCAGCUUACUAAGCCAUUACUGACGCUGAGGCACGAAAGCGUGGGGAUCAAAC